UUCAUACUCCCUCUGUUCGAAAUUACUUGUCACAGAAAUGGAUGUAUCUAGACGUAUUUUAGUUCUAGAUACAUUCAUUUCCGAGGCAAGUAAUUCCGAACGGAGGGAGUAGUUG
Triticum aestivum (bread wheat) is the source of this 115-nucleotide non-coding RNA. Lineage: Eukaryota; Viridiplantae; Streptophyta; Magnoliopsida; Poales; Poaceae. The record is from Rfam.